UACCAGCACCCCGAGUGGUCGGGACGUUUAUUGGGCCUAAAGCAUCCGUAGCCGGUUCUACAAGUCUUCCGUUAAAUCCACCUGCUUAACAGAUGGGCUGCGGAAGAUACUAUGGAGCUAGGAGGCGGGAGAGGCAAGCGGUACUCGAUGGGUAGGGGUAAAAUCCGUUGAUCCAUUGAAGACCACCAGGUGGCGAAGGCGGUCUGCCAGUACGG
RNAcentral lists this ribosomal RNA (215 nucleotides) under uncultured bacterium. RNAcentral describes it as "partial 16S ribosomal RNA". It matches the Rfam family "Archaeal small subunit ribosomal RNA", at positions 474 to 688 of the family's 1478-position model. The record is from RNAcentral.